Molecule: ribosomal RNA, 1034 nt
Filed under: Prosorhynchoides karvei
Lineage: Eukaryota; Metazoa; Platyhelminthes; Trematoda
Description: partial large subunit ribosomal RNA
Source: RNAcentral
CUGCCCCACCCUAAGUCCAACACUGAGUACGGUUGUUUGGAAAUGGCCCAGGGAGGGUGAAAGGCCCGUGGGGGUGGGGAUCACAGUGCUGCUAUGAGUAGACCUUGGAGUCGGGUUGUUUGUGAAUGCAGCCCAAAGUGGGUGGUAAACUCCAUCCAAGGCUAAAUACUGGCACGAGUCCGAUAGCAAACAAGUACCGUGAGGGAAAGUUGAAAAGUACUUUGAAGAGAGAGUAAACAGUACGUGAAACCGUUCAGAGGUAAACGGGUGGAGUUGAACUGCAAGCUCUGAGGAUUCAGCUGGUGAGCGUGGUUUAAGGCAUGGUUAUAACGGUCGUCCGUGCGGGUUCGCUUAACUGCGGGUCUCUGCCCUCGGGUGGGGAUGCUGGGGUACUUGUCAAGUACUACGCGCUCGUGAUGGUUCACCGGGCCGGCUUGCCAGUGCACUUUCUCGGAGUAGUCACCACGACCGGCGCUGCCGCUAGGCUGCUGGUGUUAAACCUGUCGUGUAUAGUCAUUGUGGCUUUAUGCGGUGGGGACGGCAGGUGACUCGUUGGCUUCGCCAUCGAGUGUUAUCAGCUGACAUCAGUGGUACUGUGCGGUGUGUCGGAGACGGCGGCUUGUGGUGUGUACGUGUGUGCCUGUUCGCUGACAGUGUCGGGUCUGGUUGUCAUGUGCUUGUAAAAGCAGGCCUGAUGAUGGCUCGGUGUUGUUCGGUGGGCGGUGGCAUGCGGGRCACCUGUAACGAGGGCCAAUAGUCUGUGGUGUAGUGGUAGACCUUCCACCCGACCCGUCUUGAAACACGGACCAAGGAGAGUAACAUGUGCGCGAGUCAAUGGGCGUUACGAAACCCAAAGGCGUAGUGAAGGUGAAUGUUCGGCUUGUCUGGACUGAGGUGAGAUCCUGGCGUUUCUCACGCGUGGUAUCGCCAUGCCCUUGAGCGUCAGGCGCAUCACCGGCCCGUCCCAUGGUGUGGGUGCUCGCCUCCGGGUGUUGCACCCCAUCGGGGUGGAGCAUGAGCGUACAUGUUGAGAC